CCCUUAGACGUUCUGGGCCGCACGCGCGCUACACUGACCAGUGCAACAAGCAUCCGUCCUUGGCCGACAGGCCCGGGCAAUCUUUGAACGCUGGUCGUGAUGGGGAUAGACUUUUGCAAUUUUUGGUCUUCAACGAGGAAUUCCUAGUAAACGCAAGUCAUCAACUUGCAUUGAUUACGUCCCUGCCCUUUGUACACACCGCCCGUCGCACCUACCGAUUGAGUGAUCCGGUGAAUAAUUCGGACUGCAGCAGUGUUCAGUUCCUGAACGUUGCAGCGGAAAGUUUAGUGAACCUUAUCACUUAGAGGAAGGAGAAGUCGUAACA
RNAcentral lists this ribosomal RNA (325 nucleotides) under uncultured eukaryote. Its description in RNAcentral is "partial 18S ribosomal RNA". It matches the Rfam family "Eukaryotic small subunit ribosomal RNA", at positions 1470 to 1796 of the family's 1831-position model. The record is from RNAcentral.